This 247-nucleotide ribosomal RNA is filed under the name uncultured soil bacterium. RNAcentral describes it as "partial 16S ribosomal RNA". It matches the Rfam family "Bacterial small subunit ribosomal RNA", at positions 26 to 278 of the family's 1533-position model. The record is from RNAcentral.
AGGACGAACGCUGGCGGCGUGCUUAACACAUGCAAGUCGAACGGUGAAGCCCUUCGGGGUGGAUCAGUGGCGAACGGGUGAGCAACACGUGAGCAACCUACCCCUGACUCUGGGAUAACUCCGGGAAACCGGUGCUAAUACCGGAUACGAGCAGCGGCCUCAUGGUCUGUUGUUGGAAAGAAUUUUGGCAGGGAUGGGCUCGCGGCCUAUCAGCUUGUUGGUGAGGUAAUGGCUCACCAAGGCGACG